CAGCCGCCGCGGGAAUACGGAGGGUGCAAGCGUUAAUCGGAAUUACUGGGCGUAAAGCGCACGCAGGCGGUCUGACAAGUCAGAUGUGAAAUCCCCGGGCUUAACCUGGGAACUGCAUUUGAAACUGUCAGGCUGGAGUCUUGUAGAGGGGGGUAGAAUUCCAGGUGUAGCGGUGAAAUGCGUAGAGAUCUGGAGGAAUACCGGUGGCGAAGGCGGCCCCCUGGACAAAGACUGACGCUCAGGUGCGAAAGCGUGGGGAGCAAACAGGAUUAGAGACCCGCGUAGUCCCUGUCUCUUAUAC
RNAcentral lists this ribosomal RNA (301 nucleotides) under uncultured bacterium. Its description in RNAcentral is "partial 16S ribosomal RNA". It matches the Rfam family "Bacterial small subunit ribosomal RNA", at positions 509 to 807 of the family's 1533-position model. The record is from RNAcentral.